Molecule: unclassified non-coding RNA, 331 nt
Filed under: soil metagenome
Description: partial contains 5.8S ribosomal RNA, internal transcribed spacer 2, and large subunit ribosomal RNA
Rfam family: 5.8S ribosomal RNA (bases 1-120)
Source: RNAcentral
GAUGAAGAACGUAGCGAAAUGCGAUAAGUAAUGUGAAUUGCAGAAUUCAGUGAAUCAUCGAAUCUUUGAACGCACAUUGCGCCCCCUGGUAUCCCGGGGGGCAUGCCUGUUCGAGCGUCAUUUCACCACUCAAGCCUCGCUUGGUAUUGGGCAACGCGGUCCGCCGCGUGCCUCAAAUCGUCCGGCUGGGUCUUCUGUCCCCUAAGCGUUGUGGAAACUAUUCGCUAAAGGGUGUUCGGGAGGCUACGCCGUAAAACAACCCCAUUUCUAAGGUUGACCUCGGAUCAGGUAGGGAUACCCGCUGAACUUAAGCAUAUCAAUAAGCGGAGGA